GCUGUGGUUAGGGAUAUUUAUACGUUGGGUAUUAGUAGGAUGGAAGUGAUGAAGGGAGAGAGGCCAAUUAGGCCAUGAUUGCUCUGAGGAUGGGAAGUACGUGAAUGUGGAAUCUUGGGGCAAUAGAACGGACAGAACGUAGUGUAGCAAAGCUUCUCUCCAUAACGUUCCUCUGGCCAAGUGAGAAACAUGAAGAUUAGAAGUGCAGCACAUGCCUUCUGAAGAAGCCAGGCAUGGAACAGUUCUGGGAACACAGCACUGAUAAAACUCUUAGGGAUGAAUUUACCUAUACCUGUGUUUCAGCCUUGUGAUCUGAUGGAAGCUGAGGAAUGAUGAAGACAAUGGAAUCAAAGGCAAUUAACUACCACAGAAACAUACCAGGAAAGCUGAGAGAAUCCACAGAUCCUUUGAAGGAAGUGGCUUGCUGUUGCAGGCUCCUUGAGACAGCCAAAAACUG
This 457-nucleotide long non-coding RNA is filed under the name Homo sapiens (human). Its description in RNAcentral is "HSALNT0329266". Lineage: Eukaryota; Metazoa; Chordata; Mammalia; Primates; Hominidae. The record is from RNAcentral.